UACGAAGGGUGCAAGCGUUACUCGGAAUUACUGGGCGUAAAGUAGUGCGUAGGCGGUUCGUUAUGUCUGCUGUGAAAGCCCCGGGCUUAACCUGGGAAUGGCAUGGGAAACUGGCGGGGCUGGAGUGUGGCAGAGGGGGGUGGAAUUCCGACGUGUAGCAGUGAAAUGCGUAGAGAUGCGGAGGAACACCGAUGGCGAAGGCAGCCCCCCUGGGCUAACACUGACGCUCGAGGCAACGAAAGCGUGGGGAGCAAACAGG
This 259-nucleotide ribosomal RNA is filed under the name uncultured bacterium. RNAcentral describes it as "partial 16S ribosomal RNA". It matches the Rfam family "Bacterial small subunit ribosomal RNA", at positions 524 to 776 of the family's 1533-position model. The record is from RNAcentral.